UUAGUCCUCACUUGCUACACUACCUCAGAACUGCCGUCAAAGUGAACCAGCACAGGACUCUCAGAUGACCUGCUACACAGCUUUGUUUUUAAAUUUACAAGGCAAAAGAACAUGGAGAACAAAGACAGCAGGAUGACAACAGAAUGGAACUCAACAAUGGAAAACAGAAAGCAAUCAGAUAGCAAACAAACAAGAACUGACAUGAAAACCCAAAAAGAAACUUUAAAAAGACAAAGGCAACUGAUAUGUCAAGCAAUGGAGGAGAUCGAACAACUCUGGAGACAGACAGAAAGAAAGACAAAUGAAAUUGACUUCUUAAAGACAAAGACAGAGGGGCAACAGGAAGACAUUGAGAGACUGACAUCUGAAAAAAAUAAACAUCACCUACUAUUAAAGCAAUUUAACUUCCAAAUAAAAAAUAUAACUGAGAAACUCAAACAAAGCAAAAAUUCAGUUGCUAAGGAAAAAACAAACUUUCUGAAAACGUGGACUAAAAUAUAUCAAGAAAAGGAUACUCUGGACAGAAGACGUCAAUACUUCAUCAACGAGCGACACAAGCUAGACACUAUAAAAGCUAGUAAGACAGAAUCACCAAUAAGGGAGGAACCCAAAGAGCCCCUUAAUGAGCAGGUAAAGCGGGAACUGGAUAUACUGGAGAAUGCAACUGAGAAAAACAGGGAAAUAAUGCUUGAAGUAAAGAAAGUUAAAGAAAAAAUGGAGAAAACUAAAGCAAACAUACAGCAAGCAUUAAAAAGAAAUAAAAAGGACAUUUCAAAAAACAGUGAACAAAUUAACCACAUUAAACAUAUUAUGUAUGUAAAGAUCAACAUGGUCAAGCACAGAUGGGCAAGCAUUAUAAAACAGGCUGAAAUGAAGAAAAUUCACAUGUAUAAAGAAGGACAGAGAGAAAGAAACGAUGGAAAAGCCACAUUUGACACAGUGAAGAGAAAACUGUGUAGAAUCCAGGAAGAGAUGGAGAAACUUUGGGAUGUGCUGGAAGACAGUGAACAACAACUGGAAGUGACUCAAAGUGCAAAGCAGCAGCUAAUGGCAGAGAACAAUCACAUGAACAUCAAGAUGAAUAUUGAUUAUCAAAAGCAACAAGAUUCAGAUCUAAGCUUUAAAGUGACACACAUCCAGCCUGAAAGAGAUGAUUUAAAGAGAGUUGAAAUGAAACUAAAGACAGGAAGGGAAAAUGUAGAAAAAGACAAACCAAAUACUUACAUGCAGAAUUUGAUCUCUGAGGAAGAAGAAAACAAUGAAGUGCUUUGUAACAAGGGUGAAGAAACAAAGCAGAGCAUGAGGGACUUUACAGAAGUAAAGGCUCAAACGAAAUGGACAAAUUUUCGAGAAAAGCAAAAAAGAAGGGAGCUUGAGCGUUUGCUGGAGAAGAUAAGGAAAGAGAGGGAUGAGUUAGAAAUCAUGAAGACAAAAAUACAGCGACAAAAGGAAAGGGUUGAACAAAAACUGGAAAAUACUGUCACUGAGAUAAAAGGUAAAAUAGAAAAAACUGGUGCAGAAAUGAACAACACUUGGGAGAAAAUGCAGAGAACCCAAAGGGAGAUUAGUAAGAACCAGGAAGAAGCCAAGAACUAUAUGGAAAAACUGACAUCCAUGAAAACUUGGGUCAACAAAUGGAUAUUGGCACAAUCUACAAUCAAACAUACUUUUUCAGUGAACGCAUCCAAACUUCAAGAAUCACAGUAUGAAAUAGACACAGACUCCCUUGAGGAUCAAACAUCAGCAAUUCCAAAGGACAAAAAAGGGAAAAAAAGUAUAACAGAUACAACAUCAUUACAAAAUUCUGUAACAUUAGAUGAUCAGCAUCAAAAUAAAAAAAUAAAAGAACAACAGAAGGAGCAUUUUGAAUCCAAAUAUUGUUUUGCAGAAGGCAAAAAUGGGGAGCAGGACUUUUGCUUACAGAUGCGAACUGAAAUUCAUGAAGAAGUAGUGCAUGAUAAAACUGAAUUACUGAUAAUUGUAAGAGAAAGGGAAGAAGUGGAAAAACUGAUACGUAACCUAAAGCAGCAAGAGGGGGAAAUAAAGGAACAAAUAAAGUACACUAUUGAUAACAUGAACGAAAAAACUCAAGAUAUAAAAAGGCUCAUUUUGGAAAUAAAUGACCUGCAGAGGGCAGACACUGUAAUUACAGUCGGGGAAACUGAAAAUGCCCAGGAAGUAUUAACUAAGCUGUUGGAAGAAACUGAACAGAGAAAGAUUUUGAUGCUGAACACCAAAGUUUUCAAAAAUGAAAUAAUAAAAUAUGAAGUACAAGAGGGGGACGAUGCCAAAAAAAUAAAACAAGAGUCUAGCUUGAUAAGGCUUAAUGUUAACAAGCAAAAACUAAUUCAGAAAUCAGGAGAAGAGAUGAAAAAACAUGUUGAACACACCGAUGAAGAUAAAAAGGACAGAGGAGCCGAUAUACAAAGACUCAGGGCAGAGAUUUACAAAACACAAGAGAUUAUAAGAACGCUAAGAGGAGGACUUGAGAACCUAGCGGAAAAAAAUAACAUGGACAAAUAUCAACAGAAUGAAGGCAGUGAAAUUGAAGGAUUGCUAAAAGACAUCAAACAGUUUCAAGAGUUUUUGGAAAUUGUAAAAACCAAAAUAAAGCAAAGUGAAGUACAUAUGACAGAAGAAAUGAGCAAUAUAAAAUCAAUGAAAACUGCAGUGAAAAAGAAGAGAAGAGAAUUAGAUCAAAGAUUAGAAAAUACUUUGAAAGAGAGAGAUGGAUUAGACAUCUUUAAAAUAAAAAUGCAGAGGCAAACUGAACUGAUUCGGCAGAAUUUAGAAAAAAUGGCAAAAGUUAAGAGCACAGUCGAGAAAAUAGCUGCUAAGACCAGAAGGAAAAUUGAAGAGAUAGAAAUUAGUAUGAAGGAGACUGAAAUAAAACUAAGACAGUUUAAAGACCUUGACUGCAUUAACCUUAACUUGACAAAAGGCGCAAAACCAGACAUGGAACAUGGUAGUACACCUAAGCAAAGAACUGCUCUUGAAAUUUUCAAGACUGAAAUUAAGAAGACAAUGGACAAUAAAAGAGAUAAACUGACAAAAAACAAAAUGGACAAAGAAACUGAGGGAACAGAAAGCCUCAAACAAGUUAAUGAGAAACUGGAGGAGGUAAAACUUUCAUUAGACAGUCUGGGUCAAAAAAAUAAAAAAUCAGUUAGUGAGAAUGUAAAACAAAUAAUCAAGAGAGAAGAGACUGAGAUGACAGAACAGAUCCAAACAGCGAUAAAGAAUGAGAAAAUGGUUAAACAGCUAACUGAAACAGAAAUACAGGAGGAACAGGUGAACCAUUUGAGGGAGAAAACUGAAAGAAAAGAACAGGAGCUUGAUGACGGAGUACACAUGACCAAAAGGCAAAUAAGAGAAAUGGAGCUGCUGCAAUCAGAAUUGAAAAUAAAGGUAAAAGAAUUUGAGCGUUUUUUUAGAAAAAGUAUGAGAAAAAAGGAGGAAAUUGAAAUAAUGUGGUAUGAAAUACAACAAGAAAAGGAAGCAUUGAGGACCGAGAUCAAAAAGAAAAGAAGAGAAUUAGACCAAAGACUGGAGAUGACUAUGAGAAAAAGGGAUGAACUAGAAGUGUUAAGGGUAAAAUUGAAACGACAGAUGGAAGAGCUGGCUGAGGAGAAGCAGAGAGACCAUAAUCUGUUCAUCCAUCUACCCAAUGAACAUGAAAAACAUUUUGGAAGGAAAGAUGUGAAAAUGUUAAUGGAGAAAAUCAAAAACCACAGCUUAAAAGUUUCUCAGUAUACUAUUUACAUCCAAGACAUAAGAGACAAGUUUAAUUUACACAUGGGAACAAUUAGGACAGAGAUGAAAAUUCUAGAAAAUGUGAAUGCUCAUUUAGAAAAGGACAAAAAAGGAUUCAGAGAAGUUGAGGCUGAAAAUAAGAAUAUAACAAACAAAAUGAAGAGGUUAAAAUAUCAGCUUAAUAUACUCUUUGGAAGAGUUACCAUACAAGACACUGCAGAGAUGGAUGAAACAAUCAACAUCUGGGAAAAAAUCCAAAGAGAAAAACAGAAGCUUGAUAUGAGACUAGAAAAUAUUAAAAGGGAAAGACAAGAGAUAGAAGUUCUGGUGGUUGAGCUGGAGAUGAAGAAAAGAGAAAACCAACGUGUAAUCAAAAGAAGCAUUCAAAAAGAACAGAAGAUAAAAAGAAUAUGGGCUACUUUCAAAGAAGAAAGAACUGCCCUCGUGAGAGAAACAAAGCAGAAAAAGGAGGUUGAACAACGACGAGAGGAGAUCAUCAAACAUCAAGGUGAACAAGAAAUAAAGCAGAAGUUGCAAAAAGAAAAGAAAGGGAUGCAAAGUGAAAUUGAAGACAUGAGGAUGAAAGAAAAAAGGAAACAAAUUCAAAAACAAUGGGAACUAAUCAAGAAAUACUUAGGGGAAUAUAAAAAGGUAAUUAAAAACACUCAAUUCAUCAUUGGAAUAAUUCAGAAUGAAAAUAAACACAUGCAAGACCAAAAAAAUUUCUACAUGACCAAAAGGAAAGAAACACUGAAUAUUAAAAGUGAAUUAAAUAGGCAAAAGGAAAUUAUACGGUGUGCAUUAAAAAACAUACAACAAGAGCCAAAACAUGGGGAACAAGUGGAGACAAAAAUCAAGACGGAGCAAGGAAAGCAUGAAAAUGAAAGGGAAAAAAUAUAUGAGAUAGAAAAAGAUGCCUUGGAUGACUUAAGUGCAGACGAGAGUCAAGACAAAGAGGAUCUUGAAAGAGUGAAAGAGUUGUUGAAAAAGAACCAGAAACUUGACAUGAGAGGCUGUAAAAUCAAAAAAGAAAUAGACAUAUUAAAACAAAAAAAUGAAAACAUAAAAGAGGAAAGGAAAACAACUGAAAUAAAAGAAACUGAAAAAAAAAUGAAACUGAAAGAUUUCAAUAAAAUGUUUUGGGGCAAACAAAAAGAAAAACACAGUACUGAGUAUCUGACUGUAAAGAAAGAAUAUAAAAGAGAAACGACUAAGGAUGGUAUAAAAAGGGUGAUCUUACAAGACACAAAACAAGACUUGAUAAAAAAAGAGAUAAAAAAAUGUAACCAGGAAAAAGAAAAAGUCAUCCAGAUGAAAACUAGACGUGAGAAUAGAAAAGAACUGUUGUUGAAGGUAAGGAGAAACAUCAAAGAUGAAGAGAAAGAGAUGGAAAUGAGAGGAGACCAAGUCAUGGAUGAAAUGAAAUCGCUAGAGAUUCUGAAAGUGAAACUUCAACAACUGAAGGGGGAUAUAAAAGCCAAAAUGGAGAGAUUACUACAAAAUGUUGACAACAGGUCAAGGCUGCAAACAGUGUUGGAAGAAAAACUUCCAACCCAAGACGAACUGAAAGAAAGCAUUCGCUGUUUCACUGAAAUGUUAGAGAGAGAAAAGGAAGGUGUGAGAAGUAUCCUUUCAGACAUGGUCACCAAGAGAGAAUGCACAGAAAAUGAAUGGAAGCAGCAGUUUGAACUGGACAAACGAGAGCUUGAUAAAGUGAAAGAAGAUCUGAGACACGACAGAGAAGAUCUGGAGAGAGAAAGUGAGGUGCUGAAUAAAGAGAAAAUGGAUUUGAAGGUGUUGAUGUCUGACAUCAUGAAACAAUUUGAAAUAUUGGAAGAAAAGAAACAAAAUAUAAAAGAAGAACGAGACUCAAUGGAAACCAUAAAGCUUGAACUGCUCAAUAAGAUGGAACAUGUAAACAGGCUGUUACAUGAGACAAAUGACGAAAAAGCCAAGAUUAAAAAUUGUAUCCUUCAGGUUCAAAUGGAAAAAGAAAGACUUGAAGACAUUUUAAGCAAGAUUUUCUUAACACAUAAUGAAGAAAAAGUCAAGGAAUAUGGCCUCAGAAGACAAACAAAAGAAGUGGAAAUCAUGAAAAAGGAAUUACAGAGUGAAAGAGCAAAAGUGGAGAGUCUGAUGAGGAAUCUGAAGAAGAAGCAAGAAGAGCUUGAACGUGCAAAGGAAAUCAUGAGUGGAGAAAAAGAAGAGAUGAAAGAGAUGAAGACUGACAUUGCCAAAGAACGAGAACUGUUGUUGAAGGAAAGGAGAAAUAUGGAAGAAGAGCGGUCUGAGAUGGAAAUGAGAGGAGACCAAGUCAUGGAUGAAAUGAAAUUGCUAGAGAUUCUGAAAGUGAAACUUCAACAACUGAAGGAGGAUAUAAAAGCCAAAAUGGAGAGAUUACUACAAAAUGUUGACAACAGGUCAAGGCUGCAAACAGUGUUGGAAGAAAAACUUCCAACCCAAGACGAACUGAAAGAAAGCAUUCGCUGUUUCACUGAAAUGUUAGAGAGAGAAAAGGAAGGUGUGAGAAGUAUCCUUUCAGAAAUGGUCACCAAGAGAGAAAGCACAGAAAAUGAAUGGAAGCAGCAGGUUGAACUGGACAAACGAGAGCUUGAUGAAGUGAAAGAAGAUCUGAGACACGACAGAGAAGAUCUGGAGAGAGAAAGUGAGGUGCUGAAUAAAGAGAAAAUGGAUUUGAAGGUGUUGAUGUCUGACAUCAUGAAACAAUUUGAAAUAUUGGAAGAAAAGAAACAAAAUAUAAAAGAAGAACGAGACUCAAUGGAAACCAUAAAGCUUAAACUGCUCAAUAAGAUGGAACAUGUAAACAGGCUGUUACAUGAGACAAAUGACGAAAAAGCCAAGAUUAAAAAUUGUAUCCUUCAGGUUCAAAUGGAAAAAGAAAGACUUGAAGACAUUUUAAGCAAGAUUUUCUUAACACAUAAUGAAGAAAAAGUCAAGGAAGAUGACCUCAGAAUACAAACAAAAGAAGUGGAAAUCAUGAAAAAGGAAUUACAGAGUGAAAGAGCAAAAGUGGAGAGUCUGAUGAGGAAUCUGAAGAAGAAGCAAGAAGAGCUUGAACGUGCAAAGGAAAUCAUGAGUGAAGAAAAAGAAGAGAUGAAAGAGAUGAAGACUGACAUUGCCAAAGAACGAGAACUGUUGUUGAAGGAAAGGAGAAAUAUGGAAGAAGAGCGGUCUGAGAUGGAAAUGAGAGGAGACCAAGUCAUGGAUGAAAUGAAAUUGCUAGAGAUUCUGAAAGUGAAACUUCAACAACUGAAGGAGGAUAUAAAAGCCAAAAUGGAGAGAUUACUACAAAAUGUUGACAACAGGUCAAGGCUGCAAACAGUGUUGGAAGAAAAACUUCCAACCCAAGACGAACUGAAAGAAAGCAUUCGCUGUUUCACUGAAAUGUUAGAGAGAGAAAAGGAAGGUGUGAGAAGUAUCCUUUCAGACAUGGUCACCAAGAGAGAAUGCACAGAAAAUGAAUGGAAGAAGCAGUUUGAACUGGACAAACGAGAACUUGAUAAAGUGAAAGAAGAUCUGAGACAUGACAGAGAAGAUCUGGAGAGAGAAAGUGAGGUGUUGAAUAAAGAGAAAAUGGAUUUGAAGGUGUUGAUGUCUGACAUCAUGAAACAAUUUGAAAUAUUGGAAGAAAAGAAACAAAAUAUAAAAGAAGAACGAGACUCAAUGGAAACCAUAAAGCUUGAACUGCUCAAUAAGAUGGAACAUGUAAACAGGCUGUUACAUGAGACAAAUGACGAAAAAGCCAAGAUUAAAAAUUGUAUCCUUCAGGUUCAAACGGAAAAAGAAAGACUUGAAGACAUUUUAAGCAAGAUUUUCUUAACACAUAAUGAAGAAAAAGUCAAGGAAGAUGGCCUCAGAAGACAAACAAAAGAAGUGGAAAUCAUGAAAAAGGAAUUACAGAGUGAAAGAGCAAAAGUGGAGAGUCUGAUGAGGAAUCUGAAGAAGAAGCAAGAAGAGCUUGAACGUGCAAAGGGAAUCAUGAGUGAAGAAAAAGAAGAGAUGAAAGAGAUGAAGACUGACAUUGCCAAAGAACGAGAACUGUUGUUGAAAGAAAGGAGAAAUAUGGAAGAAGAGCGGUCUGAGAUGGAAAUGAGAGGAGACCAAGUCAUGGAUGAAAUGAAAUUGCUAGAGAUUCUGAAAGUGAAACUUCAACAACUGAAGGAGGAUAUAAAAGCCAAAAUGGAGAGAUUACUACAAAAUGUUGACAACAGGUCAAGGCUGCAAACAGUGUUGGAAGAAAAACUUCCAACCCAAGACGAACUGAAAGAAAGCAUUCGCUGUUUCACUGAAAUGUUAGAGAGAGAAAAGGAAGGUGUGAGAAGUAUCCUUUCAGAAAUGGUCACCAAGAGAGAAUGCACAGAAAAUGAAUGGAAGCAGCAGUUUGAACUGGACAAACGAGAGCUUGAUAAAGUGAAAGAAGAUCUGAGACACGACAGAGAAGAUCUGGAGAGAGAAAGUGAGGUGUUGAAUAAAGAGAAAAUGGAUUUGAAGGUGUUGAUGUCUGACAUCAAGAAACAAUUUGAAAUAUUGGAAGAAAAGAAACAAAAUAUAAAAGAAGAACGAGACUCAAUGGAAACCAUAAAGCUUGAACUGCUCAAUAAGAUGGAACAUGUAAACAGGCUGUUACAUGAGACAAAUGACGAAAAAGCCAAGAUUAAAAAUUGUAUCCUUCAGGUUCAAACGGAAAAAGAAAGACUUGAAGACAUUUUAAGCAAGAUUUUCUUAACACAUAAUGAAGAAAAAGUCAAGGAAGAUGAACUCAGAAGUCAAACAAAAGAAGUGGAAAUCAUGAAAAAGGAAUUACAGAGUGAAAGAGCAAAAGUGGAGAGUCUGAUGAGGAAUCUGAAGAAGAAGCAAGAAGAGCUUGAACGUGCAAAGGGAAUCAUGAGUGAAGAAAAAGAAGAGAUGAAAGAGAUGAAGACUGACAUUGCCAAAGAACGAGAACUGUUGUUGAAGGAAAGGAGAAAUAUGGAAGAAGAGCGGUCUGAGAUGGAAAUGAGAGGAGACCAAGUCAUGGAUGAAAUGAAAUUGCUAGAGAUUCUGAAAGUGAAACUUCAACAACUGAAGGAGGAUAUAAAAGCCAAAAUGGAGAGAUUACUACAAAAUGUUGACAACAGGUCAAGGCUGCAAACAGUGUUGGAAGAAAAACUUCCAACCCAAGACGAACUGAAAGAAAGCAUUCGCUGUUUCACUGAAAUGUUAGAGAGAGAAAAGGAAGGUGUGAGAAGUAUCCUUUCAGAAAUGGUCACCAAGAGAGAAAGCACAGAAAAUGAAUGGAAGCAGCAGUUUGAAUUGGACAAACGAGAGCUUGAUGAAGUGAAAGAAAAUCUGAGACACGACAGAGAAGAUCUGGAGAGAGAAAGUGAGGUGCUGAAUAAAGAGAAAAUGGAUUUGAAGGUGUUGAUGUCUGACAUCAAGAAACAAUUUGAAAUAUUGGAAGAAAAGAAACAAAAUAUAAAAGAAGAACGAGACUCAAUGGAAACCAUAAAGCUUGAACUGCUCAAUAAGAUGGAACAUGUAAACAGGCUGUUACAUGAGACAAAUGACGAAAAAGCCAAGAUUAAAAAUUGUAUCCUUCAGGUUCAAACGGAAAAAGAAAGACUUGAAGACAUUUUAAGCAAGAUUUUCUUAACACAUAAUGAAGAAAAAGUCAAGGAAGAUGAACUCAGAAGUCAAACAAAAGAAGUGAAAAUCAUGAAAAAGGAAUUACAGAGUGAAAGAGCAAAAGUGGAGAGUCUGAUGAGGAAUCUGAAGAAGAAGCAAGAAGAGCUUGAACGUGCAAAGGGAAUCAUGAGUGAAGAAAAAGAAGAGAUGAAAGAGAUGAAGACUGACAUUGCCAAAGAACAAGAACUGUUGUUGAAGGAAAGGAGAAAUAUGGAAGAAGAGCGGUCUGAGAUGGAAAUGAGAGGAGACCAAGUCAUGGAUGAAAUGAAAUUGCUAGAGAUUCUGAAAGUGAAACUUCAACAACUGAAGGAGGAUAUAAAAGCCAAAAUGGAGAGAUUACUACAAAAUGUUGACAACAGGUCAAGGCUGCAAACAGUGUUGAAAGAAAAACUUCCAACCCAAGAUGAACUGAAAGAAAGCAUUCGCUGUUUCACUGAAAUGUUAGAGAGAGAAAAGGAAGGUGUGAGAAGUAUCCUUUCAGACAUGGUCACCAAGAGAGAAUGCACAGAAAAUGAAUGGAAGCAGCAGUUUGAACUGGACAAACGAGAGCUUGAUGAAGUGAAAGAAGAUCUGAGACACGACAGAGAAGAUCUGGAGAGAGAAAGUGAGGAGCUGAAUAGAGAGAAAAUGGAUUUGAAGGUGUUGAUGUCUGACAUCAAGAAACAAUUUGAAAUAUUGGAAGAAAAGAAACAAAAUAUAAAAGAAGAACGAGACUCAAUGGAAAUCAUAAAGCUUGAACUGCUCAAUAAGAUGGAACAUGUAAACAGGCUGUUACAUGAGACAAAUGAAGAAAAAGCCAAGAUUAAAAAUUGUAUCCUUCAGGUUCAAAUGGAAAAAGAAAGACUUGAAGACAUUUUAAGCAAGAUUUUCUUAACACAUAAUGAAGAAAAAGUCAAGGAAGAUGACCUCAGAAGACAAACAAAAGAAGUGGAAAUCAUGAAAAAGGAAUUACAGAGUGAAAGAGCAAAAGUGGAGAGUCUGAUGAGGAAUCUGAAGAAGAAGCAAGAAGAGCUUGAACGUGCAAAGGGAAUCAUGAGUGAAGAAAAAGAAGAGAUGAAAGAGAUGAAGACUGACAUUGCCAAAGAACAAGAACUGUUGUUGAAGGAAAGGAGAAAUGUGGAAGAACAGCAGUCUGGGAUGGAAAUGAGGGGAGACCAAGUCAUGGAUGAAAUGAAAUCACUAGAGAUUCUGAAAGUGAAACUAAUUGCGAGGAAAUCCCUGAAAGGUGAACUGUCUGAUGUACAACCCAGAGAGGACAUCCUCAGUAGUGUUACAAUCUCUACAAGAAACCUUAUAGGAAAACUAAAUAGACUGAUUCAUCAAGACUUGCCGACAUAUAUUAAGAGAGUAGAGGGGGAAAAUGAAAAAAUAUUACAAGUGAUCUCCACAUAUGAACAAAAUUGGGUCAGAAUUUAUAAGCAGAAAAUUAAAAUUACUGCAGAUUAUGACAAGAUACAACAACAAAAGAAACAUGUGUUUAAGACAACAUUUGACAAAGCAAUCCAAACUGAGGAUGUUGUAAAACAAUGCUUACAUGAGCAUCAGGAUGAAGAGACCAAUGAACAUGAAUUUAAGCAGAGGAUGAAGGAUGUUGCAGUUAAUCUUGAAGGAAGCAAAAGAUACUUGACACCUGACAAGGAAGGUCUGCUGUUAGUAGGAGAAGGUGAAGAAUUUGGAAAUGUCAAGAAAACAAAUCUUGCAACGUUGUCCAUCUUGUCAGCAGAGGAAGAUGACUUCACACAGAAGGGAAUUUUAAAAACUGAGUUUUUGAAACAAAUCUGGAAGGACACUAGAAUAGAACGAAAUGAAAUAAAUCAGAUGAAGCUCAGAGGUCAAGAAAUGAGAAACAAUAUGGAUAAAAGAGUAAAGGUGAUCAAUCAUUUUGUUAGGAGAUCAAUAUUUCAGAAAGAAAAGACAUCAGUUGAGAAAACAAGAAAAAUGUUGGAACAUGGGCAAAGUAAUACGUUUUUAUCUGUAAGUGGCAGGGAUGGAGAACACAAAUCACUUGAUGAAAAAUAUACCGAGCUCCAACAACUUAAGGUCCGCAUGCUUAGUGAGAUUGAGAAAUUCUACAUACAAAACAAAGCGUCUAAGACACUGACAACUAGCAACAAAGCUAAUCAAACAGUUCAACUAGAUUCUCCAAAUAUCUAUCAAGAGCAAAUAAAGGUAGAAGAAUCUGAAGCAGCACCAGAGAGAUCUCCUGGACUCCUCAGUCAGCUCAGACUUUCCUGUUAUCGCUGUUGCUCCCGUUAUUGUGCCUACUGCAAGCAAGGAUGUAUAAAGAAAAAAUGAGAGGCAAGAAAAGUGCUACAUAAAAAUCAGUCCAUUUACCUUUUGUUUUACUUUUUAGUUAUAUUAAUAUGUGUGUAUUUGGAAAAUGUGUUUUUCCCGUUAAUCAUAUUAACCUAACAACGUAAGAGUACCAGUCUGAUGUCAAUCAUCUAAUUUUUAAACAACUAGUUAUGUAAUGUAAAAGUAUUCCUUUAACAUGUUAUUUUUUUCACAAAUGCAAAAUAUUAAAGUUUAACAGAUAAUCUUAACAUUUCUAAUUACAUUUUUAUGCUGAUUUCUAAUUAAUCUUCUUUCAACAUAUUUAUUCUGUUGUCUUGUGUUAGAAUACAGAAGCACAAAGAAUACAGUAAAAUCAAAACUAACAAGAAUAUUUGAAAACUGUGACUCC
This is a long non-coding RNA of Astatotilapia calliptera (eastern happy), 12121 nucleotides long. The record is from Ensembl. Lineage: Eukaryota; Metazoa; Chordata; Actinopteri; Cichliformes; Cichlidae.